AGCAACAAAUGCCCUGCUUCCAGGAAAAGCCUCUAAGCCUCAGGUAACAUCAAAUCGUACCCCAAACCGACACAGGUGGUCAGGUAGAGAAUACCAAGGCGCUUGAGAGAACUCGGGUGAAGGAACUAGGCAAAAUGGUGCCGUAACUUCGGGAGAAGGCACGCUGACACGUAGGUGAAGUGGUUUACCCAUGGAGCUGAAGUCAGUCGAAGAUACCAGCUGGCUGCAACUGUUUAUUAAAAACACAGCACUGUGCAAACACGAAAGUGGACGUAUACGGUGUGACGCCUGCCCGGUGCCGGAAGGUUAAUUGAUGGGGUCAGCGCAAGCGAAGCUCCUGAUCGAAGCCCCGGUAAACGGCGGCCGUAACUAUAACGGUCCUAAGGUAGCGAAAUUCCUUGUCGGGUAAGUUCCGACCUGCACGAAUGGCGUAAUGAUGGCCAGGCUGUCUCCACCCGGGACUCAGUGAAAUUGAACUCGCUGUGAAGAUGCAGUGUACCCGCGGCAAGACGGAAAGACCCCGUGAACCUUUACUAUAGCUUGACACUGAACACUGGUCCUUGAUGUGCAGGAUAGGUGGGAGGCUUUGAAGUGUGGACGCCAGUCUGCAUGGAGCCAUCCUUGAAAUACCACCCUUUAAUGGCUGGUGUUCUAACGUGGGCCCCUGACCGGGGUUGCGGACAGUGUCUGGUGGGUAGUUUGACUGGGGCGGUCUCCUCCUAAAGAGUAACGGAGGAGCACGAAGGUUGGCUAAUCCUGGUCGGACAUCAGGAGGUUAGUGCAAUGGCAUAAGCCAGCUUGACUGCGAGCGUGACGGCGCGAGCAGGUGCGAAAGCAGGUCAUAGUGAUCCGGUGGUUCUGAAUGGAAGGGCCAUCGCUCAACGGAUAAAAGGUACUCCGGGGAUAACAGGCUGAUACCGCCCAAGAGUUCAUAUCGACGGCGGUGUUUGGCACCUCGAUGUCGGCUCAUCACAUCCUGGGGCUGAAGUAGGUCCCAAGGGUAUGGCUGUUCGCCAUUUAAAGUGGUACGCGAGCUGGGUUUAGAACGUCGUGAGACAGUUCGGUCCCUAUCUGCCGUGGGCGCUGGAAGAUUGAGGGGGGCUGCUCCUAGUACGAGAGGACCGGAGUGGACGCAUCACUGGUGUUCGGGUUGUCAUGCCAAUGGCACUGCCCGGUAGCUACAUGCGGAAGAGAUAAGUGCUGAAAGCAUCUAAGCACGAAACUUGCCCCGAGAUGAAUCUUCCCUGAGCCUUUAAGGCUCCUGAAGGAACGUUGAAGACGACGACGUUGAUAGGCCGGGUGUGUAAGCGCAGCGAUGCGUUGAGCUAACCGGUACUAAUGAACCGUGAGGCUUAACCUUACAACGCCGAAG
This 1372-nucleotide ribosomal RNA is filed under the name Salmonella enterica subsp. houtenae. RNAcentral describes it as "partial 23S ribosomal RNA". It matches the Rfam family "Bacterial large subunit ribosomal RNA", at positions 1589 to 2925 of the family's 2925-position model. The record is from RNAcentral. Lineage: Bacteria; Pseudomonadati; Pseudomonadota; Gammaproteobacteria; Enterobacterales; Enterobacteriaceae.